RNAcentral lists this ribosomal RNA (376 nucleotides) under uncultured bacterium. RNAcentral's name for it is "bacterial SSU rRNA". It matches the Rfam family "Bacterial small subunit ribosomal RNA", at positions 335 to 702 of the family's 1533-position model. The record is from RNAcentral.
ACUCCUACGGGAGGCAGCAGUAGGGAAUCUUCCACAAUGGGCGCAAGCCUGAUGGAGCAACACCGCGUGAGUGAAGAAGGGUUUCGGCUCGUAAAGCUCUGUUAGUUAAAGAAGAACACGUAUGAGAGUAACUGUUCAUACGUUGACGGUAUUUAACCAGAAAGUCACGGCUAACUACGUGCCAGCAGCCGCGGUAAUACGUAGGUGGCAAGCGUUAUCCGGAUUUAUUGGGCGUAAAGAGAGUGCAGGCGGUUUUCUAAGUCUGAUGUGAAAGCCUUCGGCUUAACCGGAGAAGUGCAUCGGAAACUGGAUAACUUGAGUGCAGAAGAGGUAGUGGAACUCCAUGUGCGAGCGGUGGAAUGCGUAGAUAUAGUGG